This 437-nucleotide ribosomal RNA is filed under the name uncultured bacterium. RNAcentral describes it as "bacterial SSU rRNA". It matches the Rfam family "Bacterial small subunit ribosomal RNA", at positions 954 to 1392 of the family's 1533-position model. The record is from RNAcentral.
GCAAAACGCGAAGAACCUUACCUAGGCUUGACAUGCAUCUCUAAGCGCGUGAAAGCGCGUGACCCUUCGGGGGAUUUGCACAGGUGCUGCAUGGCCGUCGUCAGCUCGUGUCGUGAGAUGUUGGGUUAAGUCCCGCAACGAGCGCAACCCUUGUGAACAGUUGCCAGCACUUAAGGUGGGAGCUCUGUUCAGACUGCCCAGAUCAACUGGGAGGAAGGUGGGGACGACGUCAGGUCAGUAUGGCCCUUACGCCUAGGGCUGCACACGUACUACAAUGCCCAGCACAAUGAGAACCGAGACCGCGAGGUGGAGGAAAUCUAAAAAACUGGGCCCAGUUCGGAUUGGAGGCUGCAACUCGCCUCCAUGAAGUUGGAAUCGCUAGUAAUGGCGCAUCAGCUACGGCGCCGUGAAUACGUUCCCGGGUCUUGUACACACCG